UACGUAGGGUGCGAGCGUUGUCCGGAAUUAUUGGGCGUAAAGGGCUCGUAGGCGGUCUGUCGCGUCGGGAGUGAAAACUCAGGGCUUAACCCUGAGCCUGCUUCCGAUACGGGCAGACUAGAGGUAUGCAGGGGAGAACGGAAUUCCUGGUGUAGCGGUGGAAUGCGCAGAUAUCAGGAGGAACACCGAUGGCGAAGGCAGGUCUCUGGGCCGAUACUGACGCUGAGGAGCGAAAGCGUGGGGAGCGAACAGG
RNAcentral lists this ribosomal RNA (253 nucleotides) under uncultured bacterium. RNAcentral's name for it is "partial 16S ribosomal RNA". It matches the Rfam family "Bacterial small subunit ribosomal RNA", at positions 524 to 776 of the family's 1533-position model. The record is from RNAcentral.